Daphnia carinata is the source of this 520-nucleotide long non-coding RNA. RefSeq lists it as uncharacterized. Lineage: Eukaryota; Metazoa; Arthropoda; Branchiopoda; Diplostraca; Daphniidae. The transcript is spliced from 3 exons. The record is from RefSeq and is a predicted model, not a curated record.
CUCAAAUUUUGAGUCUACAAGCUCAGCUAGGGGAAAAGAACAAAUUGGAACAGAACAGUUUCCAAACAGUGAAGGAGGUUUUUCCAAACUCAUCCCUAACUGAACAUGAGGAUGAAUUGGCAUUAGGCGAACACAGUCAGUUAUUCACUCUACCACCUGACAGUGUGUUAAAGUUAAAUUCUGUUAGUGCUGCACUAAAAGAAUUGUUAGUAAUAAGUCCAUGCAGCGAAGGAAGUGAACAAUUGUGGGACCGUAUUUGGGCUGAAAAUGGGUGUGGUACGGAAACCCAGAAAUAGCACGACUUCAACAUAAAACAUGAAUUAGAAUUUUAGUGGGGGAUCAAGUCAAGUCUGGAAGUGUUACAGGAUGGAAGAGUGAGCCUACAGUUGAAAAACACUGAAAGUGCAUUACCAUUAAGGUAUGAGGUAAAGUAAUAGAGUAUGCAAAUUGUCUAAUGAGAAGUACCAUCUUGUGUGAAUGAAUCCUGUGUAACAGCAAUCCUUUAUAGUUCUGUCACAGC